GCAGUGGUGGCUGUUCUGUGGUAGGAUUCUUGCCUUCCAUGCAGGAGACCCAAGUUUGAUUCCUGGCCAAUGCA
This 74-nucleotide transfer RNA is filed under the name Loxodonta africana (African savanna elephant). It matches the Rfam family "tRNA". From Rfam's summary of the family: Transfer RNA (tRNA) molecules are approximately 80 nucleotides in length. Their secondary structure includes four short double-helical elements and three loops (D, anti-codon, and T loops). Lineage: Eukaryota; Metazoa; Chordata; Mammalia; Proboscidea; Elephantidae. The record is from Rfam by way of RNAcentral.